This 301-nucleotide ribosomal RNA is filed under the name uncultured bacterium. Its description in RNAcentral is "partial 16S ribosomal RNA". It matches the Rfam family "Bacterial small subunit ribosomal RNA", at positions 509 to 808 of the family's 1533-position model. The record is from RNAcentral.
CAGCAGCCGCGGUAAUACGUAGGUCCCGAGCGUUGUCCGGAUUUAUUGGGCGUAAAGCGAGCGCAGGCGGUUAGAUAAGUCUGAAGUUAAAGGCUGUGGCUUAACCAUAGUACGCUUUGGAAACUGUUUAACUUGAGUGCAAGAGGGGAGAGUGGAAUUCCAUGUGUAGCGGUGAAAUGCGUAGAUAUAUGGAGGAACACCGGUGGCGAAAGCGGCUCUCUGGCUUGUAACUGACGCUGAGGCUCGAAAGCGUGGGGAGCGAACAGGAUUAGAUACCCCUGUAGUCCCUGUCUCUUAUACA